Long non-coding RNA from Macrosteles quadrilineatus (aster leafhopper), 436 nucleotides. RefSeq lists it as uncharacterized. The transcript has 3 exons. The record is from RefSeq and is a predicted model, not a curated record. NCBI's taxonomy places the organism in Eukaryota, Metazoa, Arthropoda, Insecta, Hemiptera, Cicadellidae.
CGAUUGUAGUUUUCAAAGUCUUAAGUGUUUAAGCUGUGUGUUUUUUUUAAUAAUUUGAGGUUUUAUCGAAGUAUCGUAUGUUUUGAAGUCGGGUGGUUCUACCGUGCCAGCCCCGUGCACCCUUGCCUACCACUUUCAAAAGAACCUGCGCAGAACCAUGGCUGUCUCGCGCACGUAGCGGUGAAGGGUGAUGGUGGGGAAGGGCCUGGAGCAGUGGUGGGGAUAAGUCGUUGGGGCGAGGUGUCUUUCCCCACCACUCUGACUCUCCUGCUGUCCUGCAUGCACGACUCAAACAGAGUCAUUGAUUGAGGUGCUGGUGAACUGAUUGAAGACUUAAAAAUGUUUUGUUAUUAGUGCGAGGUGUGAUAGUACGGACUGUUGUGAUAAAUUAACCACUGUUUAUGAUUUACCUACUUUAUAUGUUUUAAAAUAAAUG